AUGAGUGAGAAAUGCAGGUAUCUGGGGAAGUGCACGCCUUGCACCAGGAGCGGCAAUUGCAAGGGUCUGAAGGCAGGAGCAGGCUUUCCUCGAUCAACAAGAGGAAGGAGACAAGGGCAGCUGGGAUGGAACAUGCGAGACGAAGAGGGUCAGAGAGAGAGCUAGAAGCCAGAUCACAAGGAGCUUGUAAGCCACUGUAAGAACUUUGGAUUUUAUUCUUAAGGAAAACAGGAAGGUACGAAACUUUUAAAGCCAAGGAAUGGCAUAAUCUGAUUUAUAUUUAAAAGGGGCGGGGCACAGUGGCUCACGCCUGUAAUCCUGGCACUUUGGAAGAUCAAGGUGGGCGGAUCACC
RNAcentral lists this long non-coding RNA (353 nucleotides) under Homo sapiens (human). RNAcentral describes it as "HSALNT0259080". Lineage: Eukaryota; Metazoa; Chordata; Mammalia; Primates; Hominidae. The record is from RNAcentral.